This 724-nucleotide ribosomal RNA is filed under the name uncultured fungus. RNAcentral describes it as "SSU rRNA". It matches the Rfam family "Eukaryotic small subunit ribosomal RNA", at positions 375 to 1100 of the family's 1831-position model. Lineage: Eukaryota; Fungi. The record is from RNAcentral.
GCACGACACCGGAGAGGGAGCCUGAGAAACGGCUACCACAUCCAAGGAUGGCAGCAGGCGCGCAAAUUACCCAAUCCCGACACGGGGAGGUAGUGACAAUAAAUAACAAUACGGGGUUCUUUCGGAUCUCGUAAUUGGAAUGAGUACAAUUUAAAUCUCUUAACGAGGAACAAUUGGAGGGCAAGUCUGGUGCCAGCAGCCGCGGUAAUUCCAGCUCCAAUAGCGUAUAUUAAAGUUGUUGCAGUUAAAAAGCUCGUAGUUGAAUUUCGGGGUUAGUAGGUUGGUCAUGCCUCUGGUAUGUACUGAUCUCACUGAUUCCUCCUUCCUGAUGAACCGUAAUGCCAUUAAUUUGGUGUUGCGGGGAAUUUGGACUGUUACUUUGAAAAGAUUAGAGUGUUUAAAGCAAGCUAACGCUUGAAUACAUUAGCAUGGAAUAAUGAAAUAGGACGUUCGAUCCUAUUUUGUUGGUUUCUAGGAUUGACGUAAUGAUUAAUAGGGAUAGUUGGGGGCAUUAGUAUUCAAUUGUCAGAGGUGAAAUUCUUGGAUUUAUUGAAGACUAACUACUGCGAAAGCAUUUGCCAAGGAUGUUUUCAUUAAUCAAGAACGAAAGUUAGGGGAUCGAAGACGAUCAGAUACCGUCGUAGUCUUAACCAUAAACUAUGCCGACUAGGGAUCGGAUGAUGUUAAUUUUUUAAUGACUCAUUCGGCGCCUUACGGGAAACCA